AAUGUUUUUACCCAAAAGGUUGCAUCUGUAAACUAAGGCUUUAUUUAAUUCAUACUUAUCUUAAAUUAGUUAAUUAUUAAUCCUAAUUACCUUAAUUAAUUCUUAAUUAACUACUAAUGACAGUAAUUAAGCAUUAAGGCUAAAUAAUAAUUAAAUGCCAAAGGUUAUUGGGGUUAAUGACCUCAGGUCAUCACACAAUCCUAAAAUCACUCAACCCUAAUUAUGAGGAUCUAAAUAAUCACUAUUUAAUUAUUUUGGAAUUAUUAUUUAAGUGCUAAAUAAGGGUUUAUUAGUAUUUUAAGCAAACAUUAUCCAAAUGCCACCAAAUUUUGUGUGGAGCCAGGGAAUAAUAGUCAGAGGCUCCCCACAAUUUUUGGUGAUUUUUGGACAUACAAAUAAAUUAUUAAAAUUCCUAGAAAUUUUAUUUACUAAUUAAAGAGCCAAUUUUUAUGGACAGGCAAACCAUCAGAGAAACAAAUUCCAAUAUUUUUCCUAUGCUCUAAAUAUUCUCUGGAACUUACACAAAAAGUUUCACUAUUUUUGGAUCACUAAACAAUUUCCUACAUAAUUUCAAACAUCAAACAAAACUUGCAUAAAAAGGAGAAAAGAAAAAAAAAGAAAACAAAACUGCGCAGUGGGCGGCCUGGAAAUUGGCCCGCAGGCCGGCCCACGCGCGCUCGGCCCACAACCGCGCUGCGCGCGCUGCCCCCCUCUCUCUCAGCGGUCACUGAC
RNAcentral lists this long non-coding RNA (732 nucleotides) under Sorghum bicolor (sorghum). Its description in RNAcentral is "long non-coding RNA (SBIC_LNC014102)". The record is from RNAcentral. Lineage: Eukaryota; Viridiplantae; Streptophyta; Magnoliopsida; Poales; Poaceae.